GCCCCCCUUAAGAUAAGAUAUCCCAUGCGAAAGCAGUAAGACCCCUUGAAGACGACAAGGUGGAUAGGUUAGAGGUGGAAGUGUGGUAACACAUGUAGCUGACUAAUACUAAUAGGUCGAGGGCUUGACCUA
This 132-nucleotide ribosomal RNA is filed under the name Anaerocolumna cellulosilytica. RNAcentral's name for it is "partial 23S ribosomal RNA". It matches the Rfam family "Bacterial large subunit ribosomal RNA", at positions 2792 to 2925 of the family's 2925-position model. Lineage: Bacteria; Bacillati; Bacillota; Clostridia; Lachnospirales; Lachnospiraceae. The record is from RNAcentral.